This 467-nucleotide ribosomal RNA is filed under the name uncultured bacterium. Its description in RNAcentral is "partial 16S ribosomal RNA". It matches the Rfam family "Bacterial small subunit ribosomal RNA", at positions 28 to 507 of the family's 1533-position model. The record is from RNAcentral.
GACGAACGCUGGCGGUGUGCUUAACACAUGCAAGUCGAACGGUAAGGCCCUUUCUGGGGUACACGAGUGGCGAACGGGGGAGUAACACGUGAGUAACCUGCCCUCAUCUCUGGGAUAACAGUCGGAAACGGUUGCUAACACUGGAUAUGAGCUUGCAAGGCAUCUUGGGGGUUGGAAAGAUUUUUUUUGGUUGGGGAUGGACUCUCGGCCUAUCAGCUUGUUGGUGAGGUAGUGGCUCACCAAGGCUUCGACGGGUAGCCGGCCUGAGAGGGGGACCGGCCACAUUGGGACUGGGAUACGGCCCAAACUCCUACGGGAGGCAGCAGUGGGGAAUAUUGCACAAUGGACGGAAGUCUGAUGCAGCAACGCCGCGUGCGGGAUGACGGCCUUCGGGUUGUAAACCGCUUUCAAUUGUGACGAAGCUUUUUGUGACGGUAGCAGUAGAAGAAGCACCGGCUAACUACGUG